CCUACGGGAGGCUGCAGUAGGGAAUAUUGCUCAAUGGGGGAAACCCUGAAGCAGCAACGCCGCGUGGAGGAUGAAGGUUUUAGGAUUGUAAACUCCUUUUGUUAGAGAAGAUUAUGACGGUAUCUAACGAAUAAGCACCGGCUAACUCCGUGCCAGCAGCCGCGGUAAUACGGAGGGUGCAAGCGUUACUCGGAAUCACUGGGCGUAAAGAGUGCGUAGGCGGGGUAAUAAGUCAGAUGUGAAAUCCUGUAGCUUAACUACAGAACUGCAUUUGAAACUGUUACUCUGGAGUGUGGGAGAGGUAGGUGGAAUUCUUGGUGUAGGGGUAAAAUCCGUAGAGAUCAAGAGGAACACCGGUGGCGAAGGCGGCCUGCUGGACUGCAACUGACGUUGAGGCCCGAAAGCGUGGGGAGCAAACAGGAUUAGAUACCCGAGUAGUC
Molecule: ribosomal RNA, 440 nt
Filed under: uncultured bacterium
Lineage: Bacteria
Description: partial 16S ribosomal RNA
Rfam family: Bacterial small subunit ribosomal RNA
Source: RNAcentral